UGACCGGACCCUUCGGGGAGGCUUGCACAGGUGCUGCAUGGCUGUCGUCAGCUCGUGUCGUGAGAUGUUCGGUUAAGUCCGCUAACGAGCGCAACCCUCGCUGUGUGUUAUAUGUGUCACACGGGACUGCCGGUCUUAAGCCGGAGGAAGGUGGGGAUGAUGUCAAGUCAGCAUGGCCUUUAUAUCCUGGGCUACACACACGCUACAAUGGCCAACACAAUAGGUUGCUAAGCCGCGAGGUGGCGCCAAUCCAUAAAGUUGGUCUCAGUUCAGAUUGUAGGCUGCAACCCGCCUGCAUGAAGAUGGAGUUGCUAGUAACCGCAGGUCAGCUAUACUGCGGUGAAUACGUUCCCGGGGCUU
Molecule: ribosomal RNA, 360 nt
Filed under: uncultured Leptolinea sp.
Lineage: Bacteria; Bacillati; Chloroflexota; Anaerolineae; Anaerolineales; Anaerolineaceae
Description: bacterial SSU rRNA
Rfam family: Bacterial small subunit ribosomal RNA
Source: RNAcentral